AUGGUUCAAACUGCUCAUAAGAGGAAGCUGCCCAUUAUUGCUUUAAAGUUGGAUUUCCAGAAGGCCUUCGACAGUGUUAGUUGGCACUAUCUGUCGCAGGUUCUGGAGGCAAGGGGCUUUCCAUCUAUAUGGAAUCUAUGGAUCUCUUCAUUUCUCUCUUCAGGCAGUUCUAGGGUGCUCAUCAAUGGGGAGUUUGGUGAUCCCAUCCUUGCCAAGAGAGGUUUUCGCCAGGGAGAUUCCUUAUCACCAUAUCCUUUUAUCUUAGUGGCUGAUGUGUUGCAACGUCUAUGGUGCUUGCACUUCCAGAAUGGCACUCUGAUCCAUCCGCUUGGAGCUGACGAUAUGUUUCCGGUGCUGCAAUACACCGACGAUACUCUUAUCAUCUUCUGGGGGGAUGUGCAACAAGCCUGCGUCAUCAAGAACAUUCUUGCAGCCUUCUCGGGUUUCUCUGGUUUGUAG
Molecule: ribosomal RNA, 459 nt
Filed under: Triticum aestivum (bread wheat)
Lineage: Eukaryota; Viridiplantae; Streptophyta; Magnoliopsida; Poales; Poaceae
Description: partial small subunit ribosomal RNA
Source: RNAcentral